UUAGUUAUGCGGGGUAGAGCGAAUGAUUAGAGGCCUCGGGGAAAGUUUACACUCGACCUGUUCUCAAACUAUCAACCUGCAUAAAAGUUUUGAUUUCUUAAUUGAAUCAUUCCUUUAAAUAAAUGUGACUCAAGUGGGCCAUUUUUGGUAAGCAGAACUGGCGAUGCGGGAUGAACCGAAAGCUGAGCUAAGGUGCCAAAGAGUACGUCAACAGACACCACAAAAGGAGUCGGUCGAUAAAGACAGCAGGACGGUGGCCCUGAAAGUAGGAAUCCGCUAAGGAGUGUCUAACAACUCACCUGCCGAAUCGACCGGUCCUGAAAAUGGAUGGCGCUAAAGCGUACCACCGAUGCUCGGCCGUUAUAGCAGAAACAAUGUUGCCUAUAACGGGUAGGAGGGCGCGACGGUAGCAAUAAAGUGUAGAGCGCGAGCCUACAUGGAGCUGCCGUUGGUGUAGAUCUUGGUGAUAGUAGCAACAACAUAAAAGCGAGCAUCUUUUAGGCCGAAGUGGAGAAGGGUUCCGUGUCAACAGCAAAUGGACACGGGUUAGUCGGCCCUAAGCUGUUGCUUAACUGCUAUAAAAAGGCGGGCUUUGGUACUUAUCAAACGGUAUCGGUCCGAAUGCAGCGAAAGGGAAUCCGGUUAAUAUUCCGGAACCAGGUGUCGGAAACACAGGCUUACACCACUAUACAUACUUGAUGUUUAAUCGCAUUGAGCCAUGUAUAGUGUGCUGUUUGUUUGUAAAGCGGCAACGCAAGCGAUCUCAGAGACGUUGAUAUCUGUGGCGGGAAGAGUUUUCUUUUCUGUAUAACGAGUAAUUUAUAUCAACCCCGGAAUAGAGUCAUUCUGAGAAGGGGUCAUAAACUCGGAAGAGCAUUGCAUUGUGAGCAAUGUCCGCAGCACAGGUACCGGCCCUUGAAAUCUGAGGGAGUGAUUAAUUUCGCACUGACCCGUACCGAAUCCGCAUCUGGUCCUCGAGGUGAGCAGCCUCUUGGCACUGGAGAUUGAAGUAGGUAGGGAGUCGGCAAAAUAGAUCCGUAACUUUGGGAUAAGGAUUGGCUCUAAGGGCCGGGCUUAUCGAGCUAGCAAUACUAAAGCCACUGGAGCCACGAGUGUCAUGUUCAUCUUUUGUUGUACUAUUUCCUUAAAAAAUUUAGUAUGACCAAAGCUCUGGACUGACGCGGGUGGUAAUGGUACUUUGGUUUGCCUGCGUGGUCAAUUGCAUAGAAUCUAAUCAUUUUACUGUAAUUGGUCUUUACGAGAGGCGAGAAUCGGCCAACUUAGAACUGUUACUAACUAGGGGAAUCCGACUGUUUAAUUAAAACAAAGCAUUUAGAUGGCCGGAAACGGUGUUGACUAAAUGUGAUUUCUGCCCAGUGCUCUGAAUGUUAAAGUGCUGAAAAGCAACCAAGCACGGGUAAACGGCGGGUGUAACUAUGACUCUCUUAAGGUAGCCAAAUGCCUCGUCAUCUAAUUAGUGACGCGCAUGAAUGGAUCAACGAGAUUCCCACUGUCCCUACCUACCAUCCAGCGAACUCACAGUCAAGGGAACGGGCUUGACUGAGACGGCGGGGAAAGAAGACCCUGUUGAGCUUGACUCUAGUUUGACUUUGUGAGAAGACAUGAGGGGUGUAGAAUAAGUGGGAGAAGGAUCAAACAAUCUUGGGUGUUAUCUUAACAAUAACAUUCAAAUUGCCUUCGACAGUGAAAUACCACUACCUUCAUCGUUUUCACACUUAAUUGGUUACAAGGGAAAUGUAUGAUGCAAGUCAUAUUUAAUUUGUUGUGACAAAGUGGGUUCGUCCCGCUAACCCGUAUUGUAGUGAUAGGGGACCGUUAGUGGCCGUGUGGUUUGCUUUCGGGUAACUCAUGUAGUUGUUAAUGUGUUUUUUAUUUGCUACCCAUCCAAUGACACAGUCAGAUGGGGAGCUUGGCUGGGGCGGCACAUCCUUUAAAAUGCAACGAGGAUGUCCCAAGGCGAGCUCAUUGAGGACAGAAACCUCAUGUAGAGCAAAAGGGCAAAAGCUCGCUUGAUUCCGAUUUUCAGUAUGAAUACGAACCGCGAAAGCGUGGCCUAUCGAUCCUCUGAACAUCCGGAGUUUGGAUUCAGAGGUGUCAGAAAAGUUACCACAGGGAUAACUGGCUUGUGGCGGCCAAGCGUUCAUAGCGACGUCGCUUUUUGAUCCUUCGAUGUCGGCUCUUCCUACCAUUGGAUCGCAGCAGGUCCAAAGUGUUGGAUUGUUCACCCACCAACAGGGAACGUGAGCUGGGUUUAGACCGUCGUGAGACAGGUUAGUUUUACCCUACCGUCUCUAAUAUAAUACGCUAUGACAGUAGACCUGUUCAGUACGAGAGGACCCGCAGGUCCGGAUAUACGGUGAAGCAUUUGGUCGAUAGGCCAGUGA
This 2405-nucleotide ribosomal RNA is filed under the name Schulmania aenigmatosa. RNAcentral describes it as "eukaryotic LSU rRNA". It matches the Rfam family "Eukaryotic large subunit ribosomal RNA", at positions 995 to 3091 of the family's 3401-position model. The record is from RNAcentral. Lineage: Eukaryota; Metazoa; Cnidaria; Myxozoa; Bivalvulida; Sinuolineidae.